RNAcentral lists this long non-coding RNA (387 nucleotides) under Erythranthe guttata (spotted monkey flower). RNAcentral describes it as "long non-coding RNA (EGUT_LNC000669)". Lineage: Eukaryota; Viridiplantae; Streptophyta; Magnoliopsida; Lamiales; Phrymaceae. The record is from RNAcentral.
GAGUUUAUACGGCGAAUGAUCUCACUUAAACUCAUCACCCCGACAUCAUAAAUAACCUUGCAACAGUUAACGCAGGUGAAUUACUGAACAUAGAUCUGAUCAGCAUUCGGCAAAAACCAUAACUAUUCAAAUGAUAACAUACCUAAUUCAUCUGAAUUCGACAUCCUUAAAUCCAAAACAAGGAAGCGUUUUAACUGGAGCAAGAGUAAAAGUGUAAAACCCAAAACAUCCCUCAAGUCCAAUCCCCUCCCUCAUUACUUCCCAACUUCAACUAUAAUAACGAUUAUGCUCGAUUUCAAUUUAAGAUACAAAAAUAUUAAAUACUAAUGGAGUUUACCUCGAUUAUUAUUCUAACCCCAAAAUGUGCCAAAAAGACGAGAGUAAAAA